RNAcentral lists this ribosomal RNA (496 nucleotides) under uncultured bacterium. RNAcentral describes it as "partial 16S ribosomal RNA". It matches the Rfam family "Bacterial small subunit ribosomal RNA", at positions 29 to 507 of the family's 1533-position model. The record is from RNAcentral.
AUGAACGCUGGCGGCGUGCCUAAUACCUGCAAGUCGAGCGAACAGACGAGGAGCUUGCUCCUCUGACGUUAGCGGCGGACGGGUGAGUAACCCGUGGAUAACCUACCUAUAAGACUGGGAUAACUUCGGGAAACCGGAGCCAAUACCGGAUAAUAUAUUGAACCGCAUGGUUCAAUAGUGAAAGACGGUUUUGCUGUCACUUAUAGAUGGAUCCGCGCCGCAUUAGCUAGUUGGUAAGGUAACGGCUUACCAAGGCAACGAUGCGUAGCCGACCUGAGAGGGUGAUCGGCCACACUGGAACUGAGACACGGUCCAGACUCCUACGGGAGGCAGCAGUAGGGAAUCUUCCGCAAUGGGCGAAAGCCUGACGGAGCAACGCCGCGUGAGUGAUGAAGGUCUUCGGAUCGUAAAACUCUGUUAUUAGGGAAGAACAAAUGUGUAAGUAACUAUGCACGUCUUGACGGUACCUAAUCAGAAAGCCACGGCUAACUACGUG